GACGAACGCUGGCGGCGUGCUUAACACAUGCAAGUCGAGCGGUAAGGCCCUUUCGGGGGUACACGAGCGGCGAACGGGUGAGUAACACGUGGGUGACCUGCCCUCAGCUCUGGGAUAAGCCUGGGAAACCGGGUCUAAUACUGGAUAUGACUCCAUGACGCAUGUUGUGGGGUGGAAAGCCUUGUGCGGCUGAGGAUGGGCCCGCGGCCUAUCAGCUUGUUGGUGGGGUGANGGCCUACCAAGGCGACGACGGGUAGCUGGCCUGAGAGGCGACGGCCACACUGGGACUGAGACACGGCCCAGACUCCUACGGGAGGCAGCAGUGGGGAAUCUUGCGCAAUGGGCGAAAGCCUGACGCAGCGACGCCGCGUGAGGGAUGACGGCCU
This 386-nucleotide ribosomal RNA is filed under the name uncultured bacterium. RNAcentral's name for it is "bacterial SSU rRNA". It matches the Rfam family "Bacterial small subunit ribosomal RNA", at positions 28 to 417 of the family's 1533-position model. The record is from RNAcentral.